AAGGCUUGAAACAUACUAGCAAUAGACGGAUCCAUGUGCAUACCUUGUCCUUUAGAAGAACCCCUGCCAGAAUCUCCUCUCAAAGAUCCUUCAAAAUUUUUAUUUUCUUUCUCCAUGAAAAUAAAAAUAAAAUCAAACAAAAUCCAAUACCUUCCACCUCAAGCUUUCACGUCAGGUUCAUCACUUAUGUCGUAUUACAUGCUUUCCUGCUCGAGAAU
This 218-nucleotide long non-coding RNA is filed under the name Physcomitrium patens. RNAcentral's name for it is "long non-coding RNA (PPAT_LNC014475)". The record is from RNAcentral. Lineage: Eukaryota; Viridiplantae; Streptophyta; Bryopsida; Funariales; Funariaceae.